Alexandromys fortis (reed vole) is the source of this 5150-nucleotide long non-coding RNA. RefSeq lists it as uncharacterized. The transcript is spliced from 4 exons. NCBI's taxonomy places the organism in Eukaryota, Metazoa, Chordata, Mammalia, Rodentia, Cricetidae. The record is from RefSeq and is a predicted model, not a curated record.
GUGCAGACUGGGACAGGAAGUUACCAUGGGGUUUCUGCAAAUGACAGUGGAGCAGAUUGAAGACCAGAUCCCUCCUCCAUGACCCCCAGACUCAGCGAGCUUUGCCCACACACUUCCCAGGCCUGUCACUCGGUUCUGUCCCUGGCAGCCCUCACAGUCUUGGGCCGAAAGCAUUAUGGUGAGUACUCUGAAUGCUCGUGGGGUGGUUUUAUUAUCUUCCAGACAUUGGUGGAUUUCCUCCUGCCAGAAAGCUAGAACACAGGAAGCUACCAGGCUCCAACACUGGAGUAAAAGGGGUUAUUGACAGGCUGACUUGGUAAGUCACAUUAUGGGAGUCCCGUCCUGUCACAGUGAGCACUGCUUACCAGGGCAAUGUAUAAUGCUGACCGUGUACAUGGACCUGGGCUGCUGGUCAUUACAUAUGGAAUUCUGGGGAGUCAUUCUCUGCCACGACUCUCAUAGCCACGCCGUUGAGAGAACACACAGAAGGUCUUUAUCCCAAAACUCUGGACUUCAGGAGAUAUACAGCAGGAAAUGGUGAUCCCUAACUCUCCUCCUGGAGGCAAAAUUUGUGGGGCUUCACUCACUAUCACUCCUAACCAGAGUGACAUUUGAGAUGAAUUGGGUCACUUCCAGGACACCUCUGAUGUGGUGCCCCAGGCACGGGGUGCUUGGUGCUAAGCAGUGGAAUAGAACAAACGGCAGUCUGGUCUUUUGAAAUGAGUUCAAGGGUACCUGGAUGAUGUGGGAGUGAUUUCUUAUUAAUAAAGAAACUGCCUAAGCCCCUUGAUAGACCAACCCUUAGGUGGGUGGAGUAAACAGAAGAGAAUGCUGGGAGAAAGAAGCUGAGUUGAGGAGUCGCCAUGAUUCUCCCACUCCAGACAGGCUCCUUUCAACAGAGUGGCGCCCAGAUGUGAUGGGCUAAAUCCACUUAAAAACCUGAGAGAGCUUAAUUUAAAACAAACAAAAAAAUUAUGAGACUGGAUGUUUGUGUUCCCACUUGGGAUCGGAGGAGAGUGCUCUGAGACCUUGCCGAUGGCUCAGCGCUCCCCGCCUGCACCUGGGCAGAAGGCAGAAUCAGGCUUAGGCAGGCGAAAGAGCAUGGUGGAUUCCUGCCACCAUACAGAGACGUAUUUUCAGACUGUGCAGUGCUCUGCGUGUUGGAUUUGGCUGUAACUUGGAUGAAAAGAGUUUCUGUGCUGCACACUCAGUCUCAGAGUUAAACUGCUGACUUCGGCGCCAAUGUGGACUUGCUGUGUGCCUGGAACUGUGCUCAGCUCAGGGGCACCAAAUGGAUCUGAGGCAGGAGCAGCUGCUCCAUGCUGAACUGUGCUGACCUCAGGCAGGAACUACCGUAAUUGCCAUAAUAACAGCGCAGUUAAGGUUUAGACUGGGCAGGACACAGGCAGUACUGUAUUACCUGUACAUGCAACUUAGGUUUUUAAGAAGUGCUUAACAUUUUAAGAAAUGCUCCUGGAUAGUGAAAAAUUACAGAUUCACAGUAAAAUAGAUUCAGACAUAAAAGACCUUUAUGGAUCACAUUGUUGGAUGAAUGUACGUAGGCUUGGGAAAGAGAAGAAAAAGAAUAUAAAGAAUAAAGUUAAUGUCUUAAAAAGAAGAAGGGUAAAGUCUUUAAAGAGACAGAGUACAGAAGUACAGAUAGUUAUAGAUUGAGAGAAAUAAAGAAAAAUAAGCCACGUAAAAAUGGAAAAUUCACAGAGAGUCUGGAUUCUUUGUAUUAUUGUGUUUUCUUUAAAAUUUUUGACUGUGAAGGAGCUAAGUACAGAGAGACAUUUCAUUAUAUGGGCUGCCAAGUGGAACCAAAACGGAUAUCAUGAGGGUAUGACUUCAGAAUUUGGGUCUAAGGAUAUGAUGCUUUGGAAAGGGUCUUCUUUUAUUUUCACAGAGGAUGAGACUCUAUGGAUUUCUUCUAUCCCAAUUUGGUAUGAUAGACCACGUCCUCCUGAAAGAUUGCUGUGAACACCCUCAAAAAAUUACUUCACUCAACUUCCAACUGAGAUGAACCUGGCACACAGGUUACACCCUAAAUGAUCUGAUUAACAGUGCCCCCAUUCAGCAGGAAGCAGUUUGGAGAGAAAAAACUACGCCCAUAUUCCCAAAUAUUGUUUAUAAAUGUUCUUUUACAUUUAAAGGGGGAUAUGAUAUAGAUAUGAAUAAUUUGCAUUGGUAUGGAUUUUAUGGUCAAUUUUGUUAUAUGUGUAUGUAUUUUUGAUCUUGAUUAAGGUAUUGUGAUUGUGUAGUUCAUUUAAAAAUGUAAUGUAUAAUUAGGAAAUAUAGGUUGUUAAUGGAUAAUCAUCACUAAUAGUUAAGCUUGUAGUCAUGUUAAUUAGAUUUUCUAGAUAUAUAGAGAUAUAUUUCAAUUAGAUAGGCAUUCUUCAUAUCUUUCAAAGACUGCAGAAUAUGGCAUUUUAAAUGUUUUAAUAACUUAGGACUUUUCAUGACAAUGAGACAUGUCUGCUUCUGGCAGCACCAGCUACUUUGAGAGGAAGAUGGGCAUCGAAGAGGAUCCUUAUGGAGUUGGAUAGUCAUUUGGGCAAGAAACUGCUCUUGCCUGGACUGUUGCAUAAACUGAACACAGAGAACCCUCAGAGAGAGGACUGCUGAACUUGCCUAAAGGUGAGAUGGUCUUUCGGGGUUCCUGCUUCAUGAAAGAGUCUGUGAGACAUUCUGCAGGACACAGCAGAAAGUGACUGAACUGUCUUUGGAAUUUCCUGCUUCGUGGAGGUGUCUGCUGGAUACUAUGGGCCUGAAGGCUGAAGAUGGAUGUCCCAACGGUACAAAAGAACUUUGGGUGACCGUCCAGGCAACGAGAUGUCUCUGUCGUUUAUUUCUUAUUUGCUUAGGUAAUAUUAUAUCCUUCUGGAGUCUUUGAUGGAGUUGAAGAAUGAAUAGAUAGUUAUAGUUUUCCUUAGUUAUAAUAAAAGAUAAAAUAGAUAUAAAUAUUGUAACUGUAAUUCUUGCUUGAUAACUGUUUUGCUAUAUGUAAUUUUACUAUGUUAAAAUGAAAUCCUUCUUUUUUGUUUAAACAGAAAAAGGGGAAAUGAUGUGGGAGUGAUUUCUUAUUAAUAAAGAAACUGCCUAAGCCCCUUGAUAGACCAACCCUUAGGUGGGUGGAGUAAACAGAAGAGAGUGCUGGGAGAAAGAAGCUGAGUCGAGGAGUUGCCAUGAUUCUCCCACUCCAGACAGACGCAGGUUAAGAUCUUUCCUGACACUGAAAGGGAAGUUCAAGGGCCCAGGCCCAACCUCCGACGGAGCGCCAUCUGGUGGAGUUGCUCUUAAAUACAAGCCCUUUGGCAGCACGCCCACUGCCUGAUUUUAAGCAUUGGCUCAACCAGACUAUGGAUCUGCGAGUGUUACCCUCAACCUUGUUGGACACAGUGAUUCACCUACUUAUCAAACACACAUUCACUGUUGGCCUCCAGAGUCCUGUCCUGCGUUAGGCAUGACAUAUGUACCAAUGAAUCAAAAGUCAAGGCCGCUGCUCGCAACAUGGCCUGUGUUAUGGUAAGUAUGUUGCACACACACGCUAAAGGUUCUGGGAGAGGGGAGUGUGUGUGUGUGUGCACAUGAGUGUGUAUGUAUUCAGUCAGUUCUCAUUACUGGUAAAUCCCAUAUUAGUCUCUUCACAAAGAUGAACUCACAAUCUCAGGGCUCUCUUCUGCAUCAUUUGAAACACGGAGUGGUUCAAUUGUGAAUCACCCUAUAUGCCCGAUUCUGUCUAUCUUCAUCUUGUGUUCAUGUCUUAACUGAUCUAUCUCCCCAGUCCACGUAGUCCCACAGUUUUAUAUUUUUAUGGUGAUUUUGCUCUUCAUAGUGCCAAGUGCUGUCUCGUGUGUAAAAGUACAGGAUGGCUGAGAUGUGUCUUCUGGAGAAAACAUGAGUUUCAGAGAAGGCUGUCAUAGUUCCGUGUUAGUGAGCAACAACAGGUAUUAAAGGUCUUUAAAUAAAACAUAUGAAGUAGGGCUGUGUGUUGACUGUAAUAAAAGAAAACUAGGCCAAAGGAUUGUGGAGGCCAACGUGGGCUUCCCUUGGGGCAAUGACUGAAUAUUGUCAAUUCAGUCUCCAUGGUGACUUAUGUCUACUUUGACCGGCAAUCAUUGACUGUGUGGGCUUGAGUGUGAGAAGCCCACAUGGCCCUGGACAGGGCUACCAUGGACACACAUCCCUAUGGCUGCUGGGCAGGCUCUCCAGUGAGUCAUACACACAGAGAAGAGGAGGGGGUUAGGAAUGUUGGAAGACUUUUCUGGCUGGUUGGAGGCCACAGUCUGCCAUAGCCUGACAGCUUCUCUGUCUCAGAAAUAUGGAAACUGCCUCCUUCUCCAGCAAGGCUUCUGGCUCUCUGUCUUCCUGUAUCUGGAGAGUGUCUCUGGGUCUGGAAAACUGACUCUAAACCUGAUGCCUGACUCAUCUUUAGCUUGACCCUUGGCAAAGAUCACUGCUGAGAAGACUUGGAAUUGAACUCUGCUGUAGGACCCCACUGCUGUGGACUAAGCCUGUGACAGGAGUGUGCCACUUACUGAAAAUUUGGGCUUGUCCCCAGGUCCCCAAUUCUGUAUAUUCCUUAUACUCUGGAAUAAAACUGCACUGAUUCGCUGGAAUCUGUCUCCGUCAGUGCUCAUGGGCUGGAUACAGAGCUGUGUGGCCCCUUUUUCCUCUUUCCCCUCUCAGACUGAUGCCUGACAGGCCUGGAGGGGAAAAAGGACCCCCAUAGCAAAGCUGUCUCCCCUCACUGCAAGCACCCACAUUGCUGAGGGAAGGGGGAGCAAUUGUCCAUUUCUAGGGUGAAUGAGAAAGUCAGUCGCAUCACGGGAGGUUUUAGUACUGAACUUUCAGAGAUGGUAAUGAUUUUAGAAAUAAUUUCUUUAAUUUAGCCCACUGUCUAUUUCCCUACCCUAACCAGAACCACCUUGCCUUGGUGACUGCAAAAGUAUUUCUUAUCGUAUUCAGCAAUGGAGUAAAGGAUGGGGACAUGUGUCUGUCUUCCUUCCCACAGAGCCUAGGUGAAAGAACACGGACAAGGGACAUCAGCUGAGAGAGUUCCUAGAGCUCUCCAAAGAGAAAUCAAUCCAAGAAGUAUAGUGUCCAAGGUUAAGGACCCUAUAGCCAGCUAUGUAAAAACACUCAAAGCU